RNAcentral lists this ribosomal RNA (301 nucleotides) under uncultured bacterium. Its description in RNAcentral is "partial 16S ribosomal RNA". It matches the Rfam family "Bacterial small subunit ribosomal RNA", at positions 509 to 807 of the family's 1533-position model. The record is from RNAcentral.
CAGCAGCCACGGUAAUACGAAGGGGGCUAGCGUUGCUCGGAAUCACUGGGCGUAAAGGGCGCGUAGGCGGCCGAUUAAGUCGGGGGUGAAAGCCUGUGGCUCAACCACAGAAUUGCCUUCGAUACUGGUUGGCUUGAGACCGGAAGAGGACAGCGGAACUGCGAGUGUAGAGGUGAAAUUCGUAGAUAUUCGCAAGAACACCAGUGGCGAAGGCGGCUGUCUGGUCCGGUUCUGACGCUGAGGCGCGAAAGCGUGGGGAGCAAACAGGAUUAGAUACCCCGGUAGUCCCUGUCUCUUAUAC